Tripterygium wilfordii is the source of this 872-nucleotide long non-coding RNA. RefSeq lists it as uncharacterized. NCBI's taxonomy places the organism in Eukaryota, Viridiplantae, Streptophyta, Magnoliopsida, Celastrales, Celastraceae. The transcript has 2 exons. The record is from RefSeq and is a predicted model, not a curated record.
GAAAAAACCUGCUGAGAAAAUAUGAGUUCCUUCCUUUCUUGAUUUCAAAUGAAGUGAGGAAGAUGCUGCCAUUGAAGCCACCGCACAAUUUGGUUCGCUGCUUUUAAUUAAUUUUACAGAACAUGCAAUGAUUUUCCUGCCAUGUUUUGCAACUGAGAAAGCAACAGAUGCUCCUGCAUACAAAGACCAUGCGAAACAUUAGAUGCACACACACAACACAGUCUCAAAAGCAAUUUACAUCUUAGUGCACAAGAAUGACAUUGUGAAGAGGCUGUUUCCAUGGUUUGGACCUGUGACUCGUAUCUUGUAAUGAAGCAACGAUUGUGCAGAGGUUCAAACCUUCUUAGCAUAAAGAAUUAAAUCAUCAAGCAAGUUGUUGAAGUGAAUUACCUGGAAUGAAGUGGCUAGACUUCGAGAAAUCCUCUUGGAAACAUGUGUCACAGUAAACAGCGCCAACAACAACUGCAGGUACAAGCUUCCUCCCAUGUUUGGCCUCUACAGGACUAUUGAAUGUGAAACUAAGAAAUAACACUAUGAAAAACCAAGACAUCAUUCCGAAACCUCUCAUUUGUCUAAGAACUGUGAGGAUGAUGAACUAUAGGACGGGCUUUUUAUAUGAAAUGCCCAAGUAUAUAUUUAUCCUGUAAAUAUUCUCUUCUAUUACUUUUCUUUCUUUUUCUUGCUGAUUCAAGGAAAAGGUUAGUUUUAAUAGCCUGACCCACUAGGCCUAUUUAUUCCAGUCAUGAGUCAUGCAAAAAAAAAACCAGUGAACUGCAAACCAGUAGCAGUGAAUGACUGAAUGUGGGUGUAUUCCCUUUUGUUUCUAUAAUCAGAACAGCUUAAAAGAAGGUAAUUGUUGUAUUUGACUGUCA